RNAcentral lists this unclassified non-coding RNA (399 nucleotides) under fungal sp. RNAcentral's name for it is "partial internal transcribed spacer region". The stretch from base 1 to 46 matches the Rfam family "Eukaryotic small subunit ribosomal RNA", at positions 1786 to 1831 of the family's 1831-position model. The record is from RNAcentral. Lineage: Eukaryota; Fungi.
AAGUCGUAACAAGGUUUCCGUAGGUGAACCUGCGGAAGGAUCAUUAACACGUUUCCACGUCUAUGCUCCUUGUGUCUCCAUAUCAAACUAAACGUGAACUGGUAACUUCUCCCUAGUAUUCUUCUGGCCCAAAUCUGCCAUCUGUAGGUGGGUGUGUUCUUUACUGAGCAUGCCAUUUGGUUGAUUCAGUCGCUUCGGGCGGCAAGCUGGUUGAAUGUUAGGCAAUUAGAAAUCUCUGAUAGACUUUCCUUACCUAAAGGCUAUCGGAGAUGCAAAGCAAAACAAAAUAUCCACCCUUCUUAAAACAUUUGACUAAUACUUUCACUUAGCGAAAGCUAAGCUUGAAUUGAGUUAUUUCAUAACUAAGCACAACUCUUAGCAAUGGAUAUCUCGGUUCUC